Long non-coding RNA from Peromyscus eremicus (cactus mouse), 585 nucleotides. RefSeq lists it as uncharacterized. The record is from RefSeq and is a predicted model, not a curated record. NCBI's taxonomy places the organism in Eukaryota, Metazoa, Chordata, Mammalia, Rodentia, Cricetidae. The transcript is spliced from 3 exons.
CAACAUUGAAGCUGACUACAGGAUACAGAUGUUAACUGGCAGUGCGUUGUUGCCUGAUGAUGAUGUGUGGAAAGAGGACAGCUAUGGAUAAGAUGGGUGUAAAUUCAAAUUUGGAUCUCCAUGCUUCUGAAGAGAAUGUUACUUGGGCUAUUCUUUCUUUUUUCUUUUAUAAGACAGAUCUAACAAAUCCCUUUAUGACUGGGAAUUCUUUCCAUCUGGGACCAGCACUGGUUCAUUACCGUCAACUUAGCCCCACUUCUUUUCCUACAUCUCCCCAGAAGACAGUGCUGUAUCACUCCUUGGAAACUAGCAGACCUUCACCACUUGCGGAUACAGAACCUAGUAAGAACCCACACAGGUAUAGGAAAACAGCAGGUCAACCACCACAUGGUAAUUCGUUAACCUGCCUGAAGUAACCCAAGAUGAAAACUAUGUUCUAAGAAGACUGUACCAUUAAGAGGAAAUGAGUUAGAACAACAUCCUGAGAACUGUCAAGGAUGACAUUCCAGAAUGUUCUAAAGUACAUACCAGCUGCCAGCAUAAUUAUAAUGCAUGUAACAUAUUGAUAAAACAAAAUGAUUUAAA